GUAGUUGUGGCUGAGUGGUUAAGGUGAUGGAUUGGAAAUCCAUUGGAGUCUCCCUGUGCAGGUUUGAAUCCUGCCAAUUAUG
Gopherus evgoodei (Goodes thornscrub tortoise) is the source of this 82-nucleotide non-coding RNA. The record is from the annotation of a RefSeq genome assembly. NCBI's taxonomy places the organism in Eukaryota, Metazoa, Chordata, Testudines, Testudinidae.